This 29-nucleotide non-coding RNA is filed under the name Rattus norvegicus (Norway rat). The record is from RNAcentral. Lineage: Eukaryota; Metazoa; Chordata; Mammalia; Rodentia; Muridae.
UAAUUAUGCAGUUAUUAGUCAAGUCAUCC